CAGUGGGGAAUAUUGGACAAAUGGGCGCAAGCGUGAUCCAGCAAUGCCGCGUGUGUGAAGAAGGCCCGAGGGUUGUAAAGCACUUUCAGAAGAGAAGAGGAUUUUAAGGUUAAUAGCUUUAAAAUUGGACGUUACCUUCAGAAGAAGCACCGGCUAACUCUGUGCCAGCAGCCGCGGUAAUACAGAGGGUGCAAGCGUUAAUCGGAAUUACUGGGCGUAAAGCGCGCGUAGGCGGAUGGAUAAGUUGGAUGUGAAAGCCCCGGGCUCAACCUGGGAUGGUCAUUCAAAACUGUUUAUCUAGAGUGUGGCAGAGGGUAGKGGAAUUCCUAGUGUAGCGGUGAAAUGCGUAGAUAUUAGGAGGAACAUCAGUGGSGAAGGSGCCUUCCUGGACCAACACUGACGCUGAGGUGCGAAAGCGUGGGUAGCGAACAGGAUUAGAUACCCUGGUAGUCCACGCCGUAAACGAUGWGAACUAGACGUUGGUCUCUUAAGUGAUUAGUGUCGCAGCU
Molecule: ribosomal RNA, 509 nt
Filed under: uncultured bacterium
Lineage: Bacteria
Description: bacterial SSU rRNA
Rfam family: Bacterial small subunit ribosomal RNA
Source: RNAcentral